Molecule: ribosomal RNA, 420 nt
Filed under: uncultured bacterium
Lineage: Bacteria
Description: bacterial SSU rRNA
Rfam family: Bacterial small subunit ribosomal RNA
Source: RNAcentral
GGGCCCGCACAAGCGGUGGAGCAUGUGGUUUAAUUCGAUGAUACGCGAGGAACCUUACCAGGGCUUAAAUGUAGUUUGACCGGUCUGGAAACAGACUUUCUCUUCGGAGCAGAUUACAAGGUGCUGCAUGGUUGUCGUCAGCUCGUGCCGUGAGGUGUUAGGUUAAGUCCUGCAACGAGCGCAACCCCUAUUCUUAGUUGCCAGCGGUUCGGCCGGGGACUCUAAGAAGACUGCCAGCGCAAGCUGAGAGGAAGGUGGGGAUGACGUCAAAUCAUCACGGCCCUUACGUCCUGGGCUACACACGUGCUACAAUGGUAGAGACAGAGGGCAGCCACCUGGUGACAGGGAGCGAAUCCUUUAAACCUAUCUCAGUUCGGAUCGAAGUCUGCAACUCGACUUCGUGAAGCUAGGAAUCGCUAG